AAAAAGUUUAACUCUGGCUUAGGUUAUAGAUUGGGUAGGUUUUUCAUGAUAGUUUUUGUGUGCUUAUAAUAUUUGAGUUUUUUGAUAGAUAAAUUUUUAAUAUUAUUUACAAUAGAAAUAUUUAUGUGGGCUAUCCUUGUAUAAGUGAAGAGAGUGCCAGCAACUGCGGUUAGACUCUAUAUUGUGUAUUUGUGUUAAGAGUAUAUUUAUUUUUGGUUUGUUUAGUUUAAUUUGGGUGAAAUUAAUUUUUCUUUAUUUGUUCUUUUUGAAAUAAGUAAAAUCUUUAAAACUAGGAUUAGAGACCCUAUUAUUCUUCUUUUGCUUAAAUUAUUAAAUUGAAAAUUAAUUCGUUUGGCGGCUAAUAUUUCUAGAGGAAUUUGCUUUUUAAACGAUAUACCCCGUUUAAUCUUUCUUUCCUUCUGCUUGUAUAUCAUUAUUAAAUUUUUGUUUUAAGACUAUAAAUUUAUAUUAUUAACAAAUUUUAGAUCAAGAUGCAGCUAUUGAAAAGUUAAAGUUAAUUACAAUAAGAAUUUAUUGAAAUAUUUUAAUUUUUAAUUAAUUAAAAAGAGUGGAUUUAGCCGUAAUUUUUGUUUAUAAAGAUGAAUUUAUUGUGUUAGUGUACAAAUUGCCCGUCAUUCUCUAUGAGACAAGUCGAAACAAAGUAAGCUCACCUGAAGGUGAGCUUAAAAACAA
Molecule: non-coding RNA, 693 nt
Filed under: Grandidierella japonica
Lineage: Eukaryota; Metazoa; Arthropoda; Malacostraca; Amphipoda; Corophiidae
Source: RNAcentral